This 301-nucleotide ribosomal RNA is filed under the name uncultured bacterium. RNAcentral describes it as "partial 16S ribosomal RNA". It matches the Rfam family "Bacterial small subunit ribosomal RNA", at positions 509 to 807 of the family's 1533-position model. The record is from RNAcentral.
CAGUAGCCGCGGGAAUACGGAGGGUGCAAGCGUUAAUCGGAAUUACUGGGCGUAAAGCGUGCGUAGGCGGUUUGUUAAGUCUGCUGUGAAAUCCCCGGGCUCAACCUGGGAAUGGCAGUGGAUACUGGCAAGCUAGAGUGUGUCAGAGGAUGGUGGAAUUCCCGGUGUAGCGGUGAAAUGCGUAGAGAUCGGGAGGAACAUCAGUGGCGAAGGCGGCCAUCUGGGACAACACUGACGCUGAGGCACGAAAGCGUGGGGAGCAAACAGGAUUAGAGACCCCGGUAGUCCCUGUCUCUUAUAC